RNAcentral lists this unclassified non-coding RNA (343 nucleotides) under soil metagenome. Its description in RNAcentral is "partial contains 5.8S ribosomal RNA, internal transcribed spacer 2, and large subunit ribosomal RNA". The stretch from base 1 to 120 matches the Rfam family "5.8S ribosomal RNA", at positions 35 to 154 of the family's 154-position model. The record is from RNAcentral.
GAUGAAGAACGUAGCGAAAUGCGAUAAGUAAUGUGAAUUGCAGAAUUCAGUGAAUCAUCGAAUCUUUGAACGCACAUUGCGCCCGCUAGUAUUCUGGCGGGCAUGCCUGUCCGAGCGUCAUUUCAACCCUCAAGCCCCCGGGCUUGGUGUUGGGGAUCGGCGAGCCUCCGCGCCCGCCGUCCCCUAAAUCUAGUGGCGGUCUCGCUGUAGCUUCCUCUGCGUAGUAGCACACCUCGCACUGGGAAACAGCGCGGCCACGCCGUUAAACCCCCAACUUCUGAACGUUUGACCUCGGAUCAGGUAGGUAUACCCGCUGAACUUAAGCAUAUCAAUAAGCGGAGGA